AUUGAACGCUGGCGGCAGGCUUAGCACAUGCAAGUCGAGCGGAGAGAGGUAGCUUGCUACUGAUCUUAGCGGCGGACGGGCGAGUAAUGCUUAGGAAUCUGCCUAUUAGUGGGGGACAACAUUUCGAAAGGAAUGCUAAUACCGCAUACGUCCUACGGGAGAAAGCAGGGGAUCUUCGGACCUUGCGCUAAUAGAUGAGCCUAAGUCGGAUUAGCUAGUUGGUGGGGUAAAGGCCUACCAAGGCGAUGAUCUGUAGCGGGUCUGAGAGGAUGAUCCGCCACACUGGGACUGAGACACGGCCCAGACUCCUACGGGAGGCAGCAGUGGGGAAUAUUGGACAAUGGGCGCAAGCCUGAUCCAGCCAUGCCGCGUGUGUGAAGAAGGCCUUAUGGUUGUAAAGCACUUUAAGCGAGGAGGAGGCUACUUUAGUUAAUACCUAGAGAUAGUGGACGUUACUCGCAGAAUAAGCACCGGCUAACUCUGUGCCAGCCGCCGCAGUAA
This 501-nucleotide ribosomal RNA is filed under the name uncultured bacterium. RNAcentral's name for it is "partial 16S ribosomal RNA". It matches the Rfam family "Bacterial small subunit ribosomal RNA", at positions 30 to 523 of the family's 1533-position model. The record is from RNAcentral.